Molecule: ribosomal RNA, 460 nt
Filed under: uncultured bacterium
Lineage: Bacteria
Description: partial 16S ribosomal RNA
Rfam family: Bacterial small subunit ribosomal RNA
Source: RNAcentral
CCUACGGGUGGCAGCAGUGAGGAAUAUUGGUCAAUGGGCGCGAGCCUGAACCAGCCAAGUCGCGUGAAGGAUGACUGCCCUACGGGUUGUAAACUUCUUUUAUAAAGGAAUAAAGUGAGGCACGUGUGCCUUUUUGUAUGUACUUUAUGCAUCAGGGUAGGCUUACUCCGUGCUAGCAGCCGCGGUACUAUGGAGGGUGCGAACGGUAUCCGGUUUUAUUUGGUUUAAAGGGAGCAUAGGUGGGUCGUUAAGUCAGUUGUGAAAGUUUGCGGCUCAAACGUAAAAUUGCAAUGGAUACUGGCGGCCUUGAGAGCAGGUGAGGUAGGCGGAAUUCGUGGUGUAGCGGUGAAAUGCGUAGAUAUAACGAAGAACUCCGAUUGCGAAGGCAGCCUACUAGACUGCCACUGACAUUGAUGCUCGAAAGUGUGGGUAGCAAACAGGAUUAGAUACCCGAGUAGUC